Molecule: ribosomal RNA, 261 nt
Filed under: uncultured bacterium
Lineage: Bacteria
Description: partial 16S ribosomal RNA
Rfam family: Bacterial small subunit ribosomal RNA
Source: RNAcentral
UACGAAGGGGGCUAGCGUUGCUCGGAAUCACUGGGCGUAAAGGGUGCGUAGGCGGGUCUUUAAGUCAGGGGUGAAAUCCUGGAGCUCAACUCCAGAACUGCCUUUGAUACUGAAGAUCUUGAGUUCGGGAGAGGUGAGUGGAACUGCGAGUGUAGAGGUGAAAUUCGUAGAUAUUCGCAAGAACACCAGUGGCGAAGGCGGCUCACUGGCCCGAUACUGACGCUGAGGCACGAAAGCGUGGGGAGCAAACAGGAUUAGAAA